GGUCGUGUAGUUUAGAUGGUGAAAAUACCCGCCUGUCACGUGGGAGAUCGCGAGUUCGAUCCUCGUCACGACCGCCA
This 77-nucleotide transfer RNA is filed under the name Cronobacter phage LPCS28. RNAcentral describes it as "tRNA-Asp". It matches the Rfam family "tRNA". From Rfam's summary of the family: Transfer RNA (tRNA) molecules are approximately 80 nucleotides in length. Their secondary structure includes four short double-helical elements and three loops (D, anti-codon, and T loops). Further hydrogen bonds mediate the characteristic L-shaped molecular structure. tRNAs have two regions of fundamental functional importance: the anti-codon, which is responsible for specific mRNA codon recognition, and the 3' end, to which the tRNAs corresponding amino acid is attached (by aminoacyl-tRNA synthetases). tRNAs cope with the degeneracy of the genetic code in two manners: having more than one tRNA (with a specific anti-codon) for a particular amino acid; and 'wobble' base-pairing, i.e. permitting non-standard base-pairing at the 3rd anti-codon position. Lineage: Duplodnaviria; Heunggongvirae; Uroviricota; Caudoviricetes; Pantevenvirales; Straboviridae. The record is from RNAcentral.